UGGGGAAUCUUCCGCAAUGGACGAAAGUCUGACGGAGCAACGCCGCGUGAGUGAAGACGGCCUUCGGGUUGUAAAGCUCUGUGAUCCGGGACGAAAGAGCCUGAGGUGAAUAGCCUAAGGAAGUGACGGUACCGGAAAAGCAAGCCACGGCUAACUCCGUGCCAGCAGCCGCGGUAAUACGGAGGGUGCAAGCGUUAAUCGGAAUUACUGGGCGUAAAGCGCACGUAGGCUGCUUUGUAAGUCAGGGGUGAAAUCCCACGGCUCAACCGUGGAACUGCCUUUGAUACUGCUUAGCUUGAAUCCGGGAGAGGGUGGCGGAAUUCCAGGUGUAGGAGUGAAAUCCGUAGAUAUCUGGAGGAACAUCAGUGGCGAAGGCGGCCACCUGGACCGGUAUUGACGCUGAGGUGCGAAAGCGUGGGGAGCAAACAGG
Molecule: ribosomal RNA, 430 nt
Filed under: Fusobacteriota bacterium
Lineage: Bacteria; Fusobacteriati; Fusobacteriota
Description: Fusobacteria bacterium partial 16S ribosomal RNA
Rfam family: Bacterial small subunit ribosomal RNA
Source: RNAcentral